Ctenocephalides felis (cat flea) is the source of this 901-nucleotide long non-coding RNA. RefSeq lists it as uncharacterized. Lineage: Eukaryota; Metazoa; Arthropoda; Insecta; Siphonaptera; Pulicidae. The transcript has 4 exons. The record is from RefSeq and is a predicted model, not a curated record.
UUCUAGAGCAUUCAAGAGGUUUGUUUGUGACUUGCAGCUGUAAAGAUUGAAGGAAAUUGCAAUCCACUGAUAUUUUUAAAUAGAUGACAUUUACUCACAUGUCUUACAGUUGAUUUUUCUGCUAAUACACACUAGAAGCAACAUCAUGAUUUGAACAAAUCGUCGUUUGCAUUAUGAAUAAUACAUAAAAACUGUUUGGGAAAUCUUUGAGAUCGACAUUGAAAUGCUUGUUGUGGCAAAUGAUUCAUAACAAAAAUUCAUUUAACUUGGAAAUUCACAAGUGCCGGCGCUACCGCGCUUAACGAUGUGGCAUUAUGGACUUGCCGACAUACAUAUUGUGGAAUAUGUGCAUUCAUGAAGGAAAUAACAAGGAUGCUCUGCAAUUCCUACAGUGAAUGAAACAAUAUGGACUUGCCGAUAUACAUAUUGUGGAACAUGUGCAUUCUUGAAAGAAAUAACGAGGGUGAUGCUCUACAAAUCGUACAGUGAAUCAAACAAUGUGGACUUGUCGACAUGCAUAUUGGGAAAUAUGUGCAUUCCUGAAGAAAAUAACUUGACAAGCAAUCGUGGGCCCUAACUGAAGAGAACCAUUUCAAAGAAUGGAACCAAUGUAUUCUUACCGUAGGAUUUCAAAGAGGCUGCUGCUUUUAUUAAAUUUGAAAUAAUCCUCACUCGAACAAUACAAUAUACCUUUGGUGCAUUUGGUGCAAAUGGAUUGGCUUGAAUAACUAAACACGUCAAGACGAGAACUGUUGGAAGAAAGCCAGGCAAAUCAGAGGAUGUAUGAUGACAAAUCCUAGAAUUACUAGUAAAUGGCUACCUAAUCAAAGACUUUAUAUCAAAUAUAUAGAAUACCGGCAAUGCAAAACAAGAAUAUUAGAAAAACAUCAUCAGCUAUGAA